GGGAGGUACAUCUUCAUAUCCGUCGAUUGAAACUACUGGCUGUUUCAACUACAAGUUGAAGCAUUGUGUUCACGAAAAAAUAUAUAAGAUCAGGGAUAGUUUUGCUCACUGGUGAUACCUCCCUGUUUCUUGAUGAAUUGGAACGCUAAAUCCAUCAGGCCACCAUUGCAACCUUGAUUAUCUGUGUUGUCACAAUCGACAAGUUCUUGCUCCGAUAAUGAAACUAGCUUCUUUGUUCUGAUAUAGUUUAUUCCCUCAACUGAAACCACUGUUGAAAAUGCCCAACAACUACCUGUAGUAACAUCAUCAAGAAAGAAUAUGCAAUCAUAAGCAUCAUCAUAACCAAUUCCAGAGUUCAAAUCUUAAUUUGUAGCAAUUUAUAGACUGCAUAUAUCAGGAUAUUUUUAACAGUAGUCUUACCACAUUGGCCUUGAUCCUUUAUAGGAUUUACAGCACCUUUCUGCCUCCAAUCAACGGAAGGUGGAGCACGAUCAACGUUAGCAUACAUAAAAGUUCCAUUGUCAGCCUUUUGUCCUCUGAGCAAUCUGUGAUGCUUAAUCUUGGAUCCAGCAUAAAAGCUUCUGAAUUCAUGGCUAGUCAGGUCAGCAAACUUGUUAAGUUUCAACUUGUAAGGUUUGUCCUUCUUGUUGAACUGAUGGACAUGGAGAACAUUUGAUUUGAACACAUUGAACCUCUUAAGCUUCUCA
Coffea arabica (coffee) is the source of this 707-nucleotide non-coding RNA. The record is from RefSeq and is a predicted model, not a curated record. Lineage: Eukaryota; Viridiplantae; Streptophyta; Magnoliopsida; Gentianales; Rubiaceae.